RNAcentral lists this ribosomal RNA (537 nucleotides) under Triticum aestivum (bread wheat). RNAcentral describes it as "partial small subunit ribosomal RNA". Lineage: Eukaryota; Viridiplantae; Streptophyta; Magnoliopsida; Poales; Poaceae. The record is from RNAcentral.
AUGGCGACGGCGAAGGGCACCGUGCGGUGGCGGCAGGACGGGGAUCGCACCCGGGAAAACCUGCAAAAGAGGAUCAGGUGCCGCCGAGACAGGCUCCUCCAGGACGCCUGGGAGAUCUCCGAGCUCUUCGCGCCCCACCUCGCCAUCCUCGCCUUCCCCGCCUCUGGCAAAGCCAAACCCCUCCUCUUCGGCAACCCCACCCUCGACUCCGUCCUCCGCAACGUCCUUGUCGACGCCGACAUAGGGGCCGAGACGGCGGAGGAGGCCGCGGCGCGCGUGGCGGCGAUGAGGCGUGAGGUGGGGUCGAUCGAGGCGCGGGUCGCGCAGGAGGAGGCGCGACUGCGCGCCGUCGCGGUGAAGGUCAAGGCGGCGCAGGAGGAACAGGGGAGGGCUCACUGGUGGGAGGUGGAUGUGCACGUACUGGGGGAGGCGGAGCUGCCGGAGUUCGCCACGGCGCUCGAUGCUCUCAGGGCCGACGUCCUCCGCCGCCUCACCGAGCUGGCCGAAGCCCGGAAGCCACCGCGGCAGCAGUGGUAG